Megachile rotundata (alfalfa leafcutting bee) is the source of this 7538-nucleotide long non-coding RNA. NCBI's taxonomy places the organism in Eukaryota, Metazoa, Arthropoda, Insecta, Hymenoptera, Megachilidae. The record is from RefSeq and is a predicted model, not a curated record.
UAUCUACGUCAUAAAAGCUGACCUCGACAAUCUUGUUCGGUGUACGCAAGAGGAGUAUGGUUUUCAAGAGCGAUGUGCAUCGGAAAGUGAGACUAUCCCAUCAAGUGUAGCCAGGUAUUCUAGAGCUAUCCACGGGGCUGCCACAAAAGCACAGGGGCCUCCACACGACGGCCAUUCACUGUGUGGACACUGUACUGCACACGUACACACCCGACACCAUGUAUUACGAGGCACGACUCACACUAUCAAGAGGAAAUCGGCGAUUUCAGAUUUUCUGGAGAGAAAAACACUGCCACUUGCCGGACACCCGCGUCACCAUUCGUCGGAAGAUCCUAUGUCAUCUUUCUUCGCGGCGGACGCGUGCACAUCGCGGCAAGUCAGAGCCUCUACUCGCGCGAGUGGUAUCGGGAAAAGCUCGAGUCCAGAAAAUUCUCGAUUCGGUUGCGAAGCUCGCCGUCUCACGGUCACCGGCUUUUCUGAAAUGAUUUUCGGGGAAAUCAAAUGAUCUGGUAACGAAAAUCUCUUUUGGAAAUUGACAAGAGCGAAGGUUGGUACCCCAUGAUCGAGCUGGAGGUGGUUAGGGGAUGUCUGGUGCUCUCGAGAGGGCAAGGAACUCUACUGCUUCGACAAAUAAACGGUUCGAUAAACAAAAUGAUUUUUACAAUUAAAAAACGUCGGAACGUAAUCGGGAAGGACGAUGAUGAAAGGAUAUUAACGAAGAAUAUACACUUAUCCGUUUUUGAAGAAUUACCUGAAUGGGUAUUCGAUGUUAGCGAACAACUUUGAAACACUACAAACUAAAAAAUGAGAGAUGCAAUAAAAAUAACGUAACUGAUAAAAACUUGACUCGUUUUUCGAACAUACGGCUGCGCGACAAGCGAGCUUCGUCGGUGACAGCGACAGACUGCGUGCCGUGAGACGCCGGUUGAACGAGCGAACGAACCGAUGGACGACGGAACGUGGACAGAAGGAACGGAGGAACGAGCGGAACGACGGAACGAAGCUUGCACCUUCGGUCUCGAAAACGAUCAACCGCGAGCUGCAUUCGAGUUCCAGACGCGACAGGGUUCGCAUCAUCUACCUCCCUAUGUUUUCAGGAAACUCGAACAAUGUAGAAGAAGAAUUUUCUAGCUCUUAGACCAAUGUUUUCUAAAGAAAAAUCCUAGAAUGUAGACUAUACCUCUCAAAUACGAGCGCUCGCAGGCUAGCUAUCCACCGGAGAGAUGCCGUCAGACCCUGAUGGGGAUACAGACGGAACCAGAUGCAUUCAACCGGUAUUGCUGCACAACUCGUGUGCACGUAUUUGGCCGUACACGAUGUCGGUACGCCCUGCAACACGAAUUUUCUAACAAGUCGACCGUACCACUUACAACGGAGCAGGCCAAUAUGUUGCACAUCAAAGAAGCUGAACAACGACGCUUAAUUCGUAAGCAGGAGAAUGAACAACGUGUUGGAAGAGCAACGUGUAGCAACUGAAAAUGGUCAAGAGGAAUGUUUAUAGCUGUGGGCCGACACGCGAUGAAUUCAGCAUGAGGGGCACAUAAAAACGCGGGGGCGUUCACGCAUCAACGGUAACGACGUGUGACGAGAGCGUUUCACUCUUUCCCUGCGAUUUGCAGUUCUAAAAAUUUCUCAUACUACUUUCUAAAUUAGAGAUUCCUACAUUAGGUAAACUCUGCAAAUAGCGAAACCUUGUACAUAACCGUUUCCCUGAGUAUAGUGGUACAGCAACGUCCGUCAGCACAGGGGUCUCGAGCAUGCACCUUGGCGCGACUAGACGAGCCAGAGACAACGAGAAGCGGCCUUCGACAACCUCAACCUAGCUACAGACGUGUGGCUGUUCGUGUGUGCACGUGCUCUCCACGUACGCGUUUCAGCGCGGAAAAAAGCGAUGCAGAACACCGUCUCGAGGCACCAGUCGAGUCAUAAAUUGUAAAUCGUGCUUCCUAUUUUAAAACGGAGAUCACGUAAAAUCCUCGGCAACUUCAUAGUCACGAUCAUGAAUCGAAUUUCCAUCUCAUUUUCUAUGCGGCGUCUCGGUUGCUUCGGAUAUGGAUUUUAAUUGUUGACUUCUGUGAUGUUGGUUCAUGAAUGAUACGAUUAUGAGUAUUCAUUGACUGGGAAAAGUGGUAAACAAUGACGAAGAACGGAAACGUGGUAUGCACCUGUCCAGCACACAGGAAGCAGGGUUGAAAAAUGCGAUUCUUUUGCAAAGUUGAACGAUUCGCGAGAGAAAAGGACACGCACACCUGCGUAAACUACGAUGCAGGUGUACUCGUGUGCACUUCACACGCACACCGUUGUACUCCUUUGUGAGCCUCCACUGAGGUAGAAUAAUUCACUUUUUCUCGGCUAGACAGAGCAGAGACGGUAGAUGUCUAUACUGGAAUCAAGCUCGAUAGAACUCAUUCCAGGAAUAACUAAGAGCGAUGUUUAACCGUAACGACGAAAUUAAAAGCUUCGGAUUGUUGAAUAGGGAAAAGGAUCCUCUGCCAGUGAAGUGUUACUUUGAGAACGUAUGAGCUUUGGAAUAACAAUGCAAACGGGUUUCGCCCGAUAAUGCAAUGCCGAAAAGAAGGUCAAUGGAAAAGUUGCAACGACAAAAGCAGUGGUGCAACGUACCGGCGUCGACCAUCGAGAGGGGAAAUGUAUAAAGAGUGGGUCGGACUAAAAGGCCAUAUCGGAAAAAUUCUCAUUUAGCCCCUGGCCAAUGAAAGACCAGGUGGAUCCUCGUGAAAAACAGGGCCACGCCUGUCAACUUCGGGAGACCUUAGAAAACAGGCCAAUGGAGAAGGGCUCGAAUACAUCUGCAUCCGGGAAUUAAGACGUAUCGAGCCACUGCACAAAACUGAAAGUACAGUACAUUAGCUUAUAAAAUAUUUCGAACGCUUAUAAUAUUUAAAACAGAUGCUUCUCGAAAUUAAAUUUCAAACUUCAAGCACUGUAGGCUGUGAAAUUUUUGAAGCUAAUGUUUCAAGCUCGAAAUGUCUCAAACUUGAUACGAUCCAAGUUUGGAACAUUUCAAAAACUUCCACGCAGCUUUGAGAAGCUGGCGACCAUGGAAGACAGAAAAAAGAAUAAUACCUUGACGUACAACUAUCGGUAGAAAUCUUCAAAGGCCUCCGCCCAAAGGAAAAUCCAGAGAACAAGGAUUGGCGAUGACAGGAAGGUAGCAAAAUGUUCGAGACAAACGGGUAAUCGGAAAGAAGCAGCCAGGUAAUGUGUUCUGAAAGCAGUAAUAAAAUAUCAGGCUACAAAUGCUCGUACACGUUCGCAGUUAAAGGAGAAGAAAUGUGCCGUCUAUAAAAAUGGUCGAGAUAAAGAGAACGGUGAAGACAAAGAGAAACUGAAAAGGAACAGACGGGAGGGAGAGGAAGAAAAGGGAGAGAGAAAACCUUGGCCCACAGGCCUACUGCAGCGCUGCAGCUUGCUUGCACUCUGGCUCUGCCACUCUACCAUUCAUGUGGGAAACACCCUAGUAUCCACCGUGGGGUUGGGCCAACAACCGCUGGAAAAAUUUCUCUUUCGAUGCACUGCAACGGCCCCGCCCCGAACAUCGCCAAAGGGGAAGAAAAGUUUCAGUGGAACGAUGCUGGAUGGCCAGACAUAGACAACUGCAAUGUCUACCGAAACCUGCCUCUUGAAGAUGGUUCCGUGGAAAACGCCCGAAAAUUCCCAUUCCGGAAUAUUCGAAACCUAAUGAAAACGUAGCAACAAUGGAAUAGGGGGUGUUCAUAUACUUUCGUGUGUCAAGUAUUUAAAUACUUACAAUAAAUCAAUGUUAACAUCGAAUAAUUCUAAGCAAUCGAUAAGUCCUCUUUGAUUGAUCCUCGAUUGAAAAAAUGUAAUGGCGUAUAACGAACAUUUUGGCGGGCUGUAAAAAAUUGCCGCCAGAGGGCCAGCGCGGGUGUAAGAUAAAUACUUGUGAAUCACGUUUACUAAAUUAUUUUGAGAAUAUAUACUGCUUUCUUUAUUUUAUUUUUAUACUGCUUUUUAUUAUUUUAUUUCGUUAGAAGAAAAUGGUAUUACCUUCUCGAGAUAGGUACAACAGAUAAUACCCAUGAUGCAUGCAGUGCGAAUGGUUACGUACGCAUUUAUUGACACUGAGAUUCGCCACAUGACUUUGAUCUGCGAUUCGUGAUCUUGCACGCCUAACCUAGGCCACUCGAUCUUCUCUUUUUUCUGUAACCUCGCAUGACCGAAUAGGCUGAUAAUAUUCUGCACAUUUAAAUUUCUUCGACGCUAUUCCUUGCACGCGAAUAAAUACGAGAAACGGAGAUGACGGGAAGAAGAUCGAUAAAUGUAUCGAUUUUUAGUAACACCAGCGACAUCUCGAUUAUUUUGGAGGGAAUGAUACAUUUGAUUUUCGAUAAAAUUGUAAGGGAGGAAAAGUACUCGAAUGGUUAGAAUAUGUAUGAUCAAAACCGGAUAUGAAGAUAAAUAUUCAAGUAUCUGAAUUCAAGUUUUCUUUUGUGAUUACUCAGAUACGAAACUUUUCUUGUAGUAUUUUUUUUUAAUUCCACUCGAGCUUACUCUUAUCUACUAGUGAUAAAAAUUUGCUGUAGAACAGUAAAAUGGCAACAACGAUUGUAAUUCUGACCUAUAGUCAAGCAGUUAGCAAACAGCUGGUAUUUUUUAGCACUAUUACUGAAUAUACGUUCGAGUCUUCAAUCGCAAAAAGUCACGAUUAUCGAUAUUUUGCAAAAGUCAAAAUCGAUCGUAUCUUCUAAUCGACGUACGGUUAGUUUCGGUUACUGAAUCGAGAUAAAGUUCUAGAAGUUCGAACUGUCAAAAUCGCUGGCUAUCGAUACUCGAAUUACUUUACUUCCAUAUCUCGAAAUACGUUACUAACUACGUUCUAACUGAUAAAGAUAUUAAUAUAAAUAAAUUCAUAUUGUUAAUACAGUUUAAAUAUUAUUUAACGUCACAUGGUGUUAAUUUUUCAUCAGUCACUUUCAGAAUUAAUUCACGAGUUAUAUACUGAACUUGAUCUUGUUCUUGGUCGUCAUUCAUCAAGAACAUGUGCCAGAGAAUUGUGUAGCGCAAGAAACAGCGAAAGUGUGAAUUCUAAUAUUUACCUCCUAAUGAAUCCGUUCGAAACAGGAACAUCGCCGCAUCCUAGGGAUUUCUGCUGAACGUAGAAAUUCAUGAAGAAGAAAAACAGCGGGAGUAAAGAACGUGGUAAUGUAUGUAAGUAUAUAUCCUAUAUUUAUCGGACACCGUUCGUUUGUACGUCAGGUCGCCGCUCCCUGAGAGAUCACUGCCCUCACGCACACCCGGUGUCUUUUCUCGUUCCUUUGGCCGAUCGACGUCGGGUGUCCCUCUGCUCCGACGACGGGGGCCAGGGAUGUAUCGCGAAAUUGACGGACCCGUCGCGAAUAACCCGCCGCGCGAAACAUCUCAAUUCCAAAUCGUUUAAUGAAUACACUUCGUAGCAAUUGCACAAUUUCCGUUUUAUCGCAAACAUCUCUCUAAAAACGAGAGAAGGUACACACGAAAUCGGAACGAGAAAAAAUUUAUCGAGGUAGUGAUGGGAUUGAUUAAAAAAUAUCUUAAUCAAUGAAGAUAGACUGGAUUAAUUUUUUACGAAUUACUUAACUGGAAUAUAGAAUAAAUGGAAAAAUACUGCCACUAUUGUAAUUAUCUUUGAACCAUGGAACUGGAAUAUAUUUUUCGAAAUGUGAUUACGAAGAGAACAGUCGAUAAGAACAUGUCUAAUUGUAGUUGACAAGGAAAUAUAUUUUUUUUAAAUGUUAAGUAUCGUUCGUCGAGAUAUCGUUCCCAUCACUACUCUAUUAACUUCCCUUCCUCGAAUCUGAAUUUCGAGACUAUCGAGCUGUCUCGAUGAUCCGGCGACGAAUAACCACCAAAUGUAACGAUCACUCGCGAACUUCCUUCGUGAACGGUUGAAAAUAAUUUCGAAAAAUCAACCACGAUCUCGAACGAUACACGAGGAACUUUUUAUCGUAAACGGUUGGAUUUAUGUUUUGACGUAGUGCACUAAUCCGUUCGCGAGUUAAAUUUGCCCGGUAAUUGUAUUUGUUGCACGCGCACUGUGUCUCACAUGGGUGCUUGUUCUGCGUGUCCUCGCGAAUUCGCGGCACACGGACUGCUACUUCCCGAUUGCAAAAACCCCUUCUUUCCGCGCACAGAAAGACUGAGGGAUCUAGAAACCCUACCCCCCAGGGCACGCGUACGUGUAUGCGAGUUUGCACGUCUAGCGCACACCACGAUAAACGCGACACGUAUGUACAAAGGGGAAACGACGUGCAGGAGCCGGCAACCAGACAACCAUUCCCAUUCUCUUGAUAGAACGCGUGGCAACUAGUCGAAUGAGCGCAAAGUCGCCAUCUGUAUCGCGAUUCUGGCAUUAUGAUUUUCGCAAAUUGACCGGCAAAUGCAAUCACGUCCCUGAUCAAACGAAAUGCGCAUGCGCACGCGUGCGUUGGAAAUUCAAACAUUCUUGAUCUGCCGCGAAUUUUAAACAGGUACGUGGUUUAUUAAUACACACUAUCUUCUGCCAUUCAUCCUAAUAGUGUAAAUGUUGGAACCUUGAUAUAAUUUCUAAUUAAAUCUGAAAUGUUCUAAAAUGGAUAGUAUCUUUGGUCUUAAUAGGUAUGUAUGAUUGUCUUACUAACCUAAAGGUUAUUUUCACUAUACAUUGAAAUAAGAGUGGUAUACCAGAAUAAUAUUAUUUUACCUAUAUUAUGUUAAUUUAGAUUAGAUCUACUUAUAUUCGAUAAAGGUUAGAUCAUUAACCAUCGGAGAAGACAGGCUUAACUAUUAAUACUUUUAUACAACAGAAACGCGUAUUGAACAUGACACGUAGUAAUAUAACAUAAAGUAUUAAGAUAGGUCAAUCAGGCUCAGUGCAAAUAAACAUCAUUCACCGGAAUGGAGUAAGUUGCAUAUUAUAAGUAAUGAAAUUAUUUAUGCAAUGUAUCUACUGUUUCAAAAUACCGGAACUAACCCGCGCUUUUUUCAGGACUGACAAAUCACAUGUGUCAAAUAUUCUGAUUGGUUAACGUUACAUCACAAUAUGGCUUCCUGUAACGUUCUUUUACGAUUGAACGAUCAUCGGCUUAGUUGAAAUCAGUAAGAAACUUUGCAUCGACACAUAAUCUAUUGAUACGAAUAAGCUUUGUUGUUUUUGAAGAAUUUAUUUAAUCAAGCAUGUUAUUUAAGACCGAUUCGUAUUUCCAUAAAAGACAACGCUGCAAAUCCAUAAUUCCCACCGAUAUUAUGUCCCAUUUUAGUUGGACAGUACAUAUUUUAUUCGAUGAUAAAAACCUAGGAUCAUUGGUUGAUGGUCUUCCAGGUAACUGUCUGAUACAAUCGAUUUAUUAACAUUGAUAUCUUUGUUUUUCAGCAGAGGAAAACGGAGAUCGUACGACGCUUGAUAUAAGAAAGAAAAAUAUUUCAGCUGUUCGGAUUUUUCCCUUAAUCUUUGUUAUUUUUAUUGGUAUUUCGCUUUUGAAAAGGAUACGGAUAACGAGAAUCUUCGGAAACUUUUGUAUACUGAAGCUUUUGGUACACUU